UAACACAUGCAAGUCGAGGGGAAACGGCAGCUUAGCUUGCUAAGCUGGACGUCGACCGGCGCACGGGUGAGUAACGCGUAUCCAACCUGCCCCACGGUGAGGGAUAACCCGCGGAAACGCGGCCUAAUACCUCAUGGUCUCCGAGCUUGACAUCAACCUUGGAGUAAAGAUUCAUUGCCGUGGGAUGGGGAUGCGUCUGAUUAGCUUGUUGGCGGGGCAACGGCCCACCAAGGCGACGAUCAGUAGGGGUUCUGAGAGGAAAGCCCCCCACAUUGGAACUGAGACACGGUCCAAACUCCUACGGGAGGCAGCAGUGAGGAAUAUUGGUCAAUGGGCGAGAGCCUGAACCAGCCAAGUAGCGUGCAGGAUGACGGCCCUAUGGGUUGUAAACUGCUUUUAUGCGGGGAUAAAGCGGGCGACGUGUCGCCCUUUGCAGGUACCGCAUGAAUAAGGACCGGCUAAUUCCGUGCCAGCAGCCGCGGUAAUACGGAAGGUCCGGGCGUUAUCCGGAUUUAUUGGGUUUAAAGGGAGCGCAGGCCGGGUAUUAAGCGUGUUGUGAAAUGUAGGCGCCCAACGUCUGCACCGCAGCGCGAACUGGUGCCCUUGAGUACGCACGACGUUGGCGGAAUUCGCCGUGUAGCGGUGAAAUGCUUAGAUAUGGCGAAGAACUCCGAUUGCGAAGGCAGCUGACGGGAGCGCUACUGACGCUCAUGCUCGAAAGCGCGGGUAUCGAACAGGAUUAGAUACCCUGGUAGUCCGCGCGGUAAACGAUGGAUGCCCGCUAUUUGCGCAUUAGCGCAAGUGGCCAAGUGAAAACGUUAAGCAUCCCACCUGGGGAGUACGCAGGCAACGGUGAAACUCAAAGGAAUUGACGGGGGCCCGCACAAGCGGAGGAACAUGUGGUUUAAUUCGAUGAUACGCGAGGAACCUUACCCGGGCUUGAAUUGCAGAGGAAAGAUCCAGAGAUGGUGAUGCCCUUCGGGGCCUCUGUGAAGGUGCUGCAUGGUUGUCGUCAGCUCGUGCCGUGAGGUGUCGGCUUAAGUGCCAUAACGAGCGCAACCCCUCUCCAUAGUUGCCAUCAGGUAGUGCUGGGCACUCUGUGGACACUGCCACCGUAAGGUGCGAGGAAGGUGGGGAUG
This 1139-nucleotide ribosomal RNA is filed under the name uncultured bacterium. Its description in RNAcentral is "bacterial SSU rRNA". It matches the Rfam family "Bacterial small subunit ribosomal RNA", at positions 49 to 1181 of the family's 1533-position model. The record is from RNAcentral.